Mauremys reevesii (Reeves's turtle) is the source of this 530-nucleotide long non-coding RNA. RefSeq lists it as uncharacterized. Lineage: Eukaryota; Metazoa; Chordata; Testudines; Geoemydidae. The transcript is spliced from 4 exons. The record is from RefSeq and is a predicted model, not a curated record.
AGGUGGGCUAGAGGCACGUGGUGAGGGGUUGGGAAGUUAGUAGAGACCGAGCAAGGGGAAAAGCAGGGAAUCAGUUGCACUCCAGGCUCAGCAUGGGGGAAUUUAGAGUUCAGGGCAAGAGAGGGAGAUGAAAUUGACCAGACACUGACAACCCACAGCCCUGAAGCUGAUGAGCCUAUUGUCAUUUUGCAAAAGGACAGAAAAAUGAAUCACCUUGGAAACCAAGCAGCCAUGGAUGUGCAGUAACCAAGCUUUUCUCUGGGAGCUAAGAGGAGAGGGAAUCCUGUGCCAUUGAUCCAGACGGCGGCCACCACCUGCUCUAAGAAGGCAGCCAUGGCCAGCGUGACCUCAGCCCCUUUGGACACCCCGAUCACUCCGAGGCCUGGGCCUCUCACCUGAAAAACCCACAAAGAGCCACAUUGGAAUAAUCAUGCCAACAGCCUGGGAAUCUUCAAUUUGGCGCCAGCACAGGAUGGGAGCAGGAGGAGCCUGCAGGGGGCGCUGUGACACAGAAGAAGAUAGAGCCUGCA